UGUGCCUACGGGACGCAGCAGUGAGGAAUAUUGGUCAAUGGUCGGGAGACUGAACCAGCCAAGCCGCGUGAGGGAUGAAGGUACAGAGUAUCGUAAACCUCUUUUGUCAGGGAACAAAGGCGGGGACGUGUCCCCGGAUGAGUGUACCUGAAGAAAAAGCCCCGGCUAACUACGUGCCAGCAGCCGCGGUAAUACGUAGGGGGCAAGCGUUAUCCGGAUUUACUGGGUGUAAAGGGAGCGUAGACGGAGGAGCAAGUCUGAUGUGAAAAUCCGGGGCCCAACCCCGGAACUGCAUUGGAAACUGU
This 305-nucleotide ribosomal RNA is filed under the name uncultured bacterium. RNAcentral describes it as "bacterial SSU rRNA". It matches the Rfam family "Bacterial small subunit ribosomal RNA", at positions 335 to 636 of the family's 1533-position model. The record is from RNAcentral.